This is a long non-coding RNA of Helianthus annuus (common sunflower), 446 nucleotides long. RefSeq lists it as uncharacterized. The transcript has 2 exons. Lineage: Eukaryota; Viridiplantae; Streptophyta; Magnoliopsida; Asterales; Asteraceae. The record is from RefSeq and is a predicted model, not a curated record.
UGAAGAUGAAGUCUUCCAUGAAGCUGUUUGCAGCAUUGUUGCUUGUUGUCAUGUGUCUAGUGGCCAAUGAAAUGGGUGGUCCGAUGGUGGUGGAAGCGAGAACAUGUCUGUUCCAGAGCCACAAGUUCCAGGGGGCGUGCUUUAGCGACACCAACUGUGGUAAUGUUUGAAAAUCUGAAGGGUUUCUUAGAGGAACGUGUCGUGGUUUUCGACACGGGUGCUUCUGUGCCUCACCCUGUUAGAUCGAUCCUUAAUUGUCUACAGCUGCUACUUCAUGGCCGACUAGUUGACUUGCAAUCUUGCAUGUUUGUAUUUUACGGUGUGUUUAUUUUUACCUGCUUAAGUAGUUUCUCGUCGUAUACUUGGCUUAGGAAACCAAUUAACUCCAUGUUGGGAUAUAUAUCCGUGUGAAAGUAAAACAAUGAAUAGUCAAAUAUUUACAUAAA